RNAcentral lists this ribosomal RNA (452 nucleotides) under uncultured bacterium. Its description in RNAcentral is "bacterial SSU rRNA". It matches the Rfam family "Bacterial small subunit ribosomal RNA", at positions 340 to 786 of the family's 1533-position model. The record is from RNAcentral.
UACGGAAGGCAGCAGUGGGGAAUAUUGCACAAUGGGCGCAAGCCUGAUGCAGCCAUGCCGCGUGUAUGAAGAAGGCCUUCGGGUUGUAAAGUACUUUCAGUCGUGAGGAAGGUGUUAAGGUUAAUAACCUUAGCAAUUGACGUUAGCGACAGAAGAAGCACCGGCUAACUCCGUGCCAGCAGCCGCGGUAAUACGGAGGGUGCGAGCGUUAAUCGGAAUUACUGGGCGUAAAGGGCACGCAGGCGGUUAAUUAAGUUGGAUGUGAAAUCCCCGGGCUUAACCUGGGAAUGGCAUUCAAGACUGGUUAGCUAGAGUCUUGUAGAGGGGGUAGAAUUCCGAUGUGUAGCGGUGAAAUGCGUAGAGAUGUGGAGGAAUACCGGUGGCGAAGGCGGCCCCUGGCAAAGACUGACGCUCAUGUGCGAAAGCGUGGGGAGCAAACAGGAUUAGAUACC